GACGAACGCUGGCGGCGUGCUUAACACAUGCAAGUCGAACGGAAAGGCCCUGCUUUUGUGGGGUGCUCGAGUGGCGAACGGGUGAGUAACACGUGAGUAACCUGCCCUUGACUUUGGGAUAACUUCAGGAAACUGGGGCUAAUACCGGAUAGGAGCUCCUGCUGCAUGGUGGGGGUUGGAACGUUUCGGCGGGUGGGGAUGGACUCGCGGCUUAUCAGCUUGUUGGUGGGGUAGUGGUUUACCAAGGCUUUGACGGGUAGCCGGCCUGAGAGGGUGACCGGGCACAUGGGGACUGAGAUACGGCCCAGACUCCUAUGGGAGGCAGCAGUGGGGAAUAUUGCACAAUGGGCGGAAGUCUGAUGCAGCAACGCCGCGUGCGGGAAGACGGCCUGCGGGUUGUAAACCGCUUUCGCCUGUGACGAAGCGUGAGUGACGGUAAUGGGUAAAGAAGCACCGGCUAACUACGUG
RNAcentral lists this ribosomal RNA (468 nucleotides) under uncultured bacterium. Its description in RNAcentral is "partial 16S ribosomal RNA". It matches the Rfam family "Bacterial small subunit ribosomal RNA", at positions 28 to 507 of the family's 1533-position model. The record is from RNAcentral.